CGGUUGAUCCUGCCAGUAGUCAUACGCUCACAUAAAAGAUUAAGCCAUGCAAGUGCCAGUACAAACGACUCUGUACAGUGAAACUGCGAAUGGCUCAUUAAAUCAGUUAUAGUUUACUUGAUAGUCCCUUCUACAUGGAAUAACUGUGGAAAAGCUAGAGCUAAUACAUGCAUUAAAGCUCGACUUCUGGAAGAGCUGUAUUGAUUAGAUUAAAACCAACGGUAGCAAUACCUUCUUUGGUGAUUCAUAGUCACUCUACGAAUCGCACGUCCUUGCGACAGGCGAUGUUUCAUUCAAAUUUCUGCCCUAUCAACUAGAUUGUAGUGUAUUGGACUACAAUGGUUAUAACGGGUAACGGGGAAUUAGGGUUCGGUUCCGGAGAGGGAGCCUGAGAAAUGGCUACCACAUCCAAGGAAGGCAGCAGGCGCGCAAAUUACCCAAUGCCGACUAGGCGAGGUAGUGACAAUACAUAACGAUACAGGGCAUUUUUUGUCUUGUAAUUGGAAUGAGUACAAUUUAAACACCUUAACGAGGAACAAUUGGAGGACAAGUCUGGUGCCAGCACCUGCGGUAAUUCCAGCUCCAAUAGCGUAUAUUAAAGUUGUUGCAAUAAAAACGCGCGUAGUUGAAUUUGGGGUCUGUUUGUUCGGUUCAAUGAAUUUUGAUACUGACAAAUCGACUCUUACUUUCUGCCAAUUUCGUCUGCGCUUCACCGCGUGGGCGAAAGAGUCAGAACUUUUACUUUGAGAAAAUUAGAGUGUUUAAAGCAGGCAAUCGCUUGAAUACAUUAGCAUGGAAUGAUGGAAUAGGACUUUGGUUCUGUUUUGUUGGCUUCUAGGACCGAGGUAAUGAUUAAUAGGGACAGUUGGGGGCAUUAGUAUUCCGGAGUCAGAGGUGAAAUUCUUGGAUUUCCGGAAGACUAACUGCUGCGAAAGCAUUUGCCAAGGAUGUUUUCAUUAACCAAGCACGAAAGUCAGGGGAUCAAAAAUGAUUAGAUACCGUUGUAGUCUUGACCAUAAACUAUGCCGACUCGGGAUCGAAGCGAUGUGUUUUUAGCACGCUCCGGCACCGUAUGAGAUAUCAAAGUUUUUGGGUUUUGGGGGGAGUACGAUUGCAAGGUUGAAACUUAAAGAAAUUGACGGAAGAGCACCACCAGACGUGGAAUCUGCGGCUUAAUUUGACUCAACACGGGAAAACUUACCAGGUCCAGACUUAAGAAGGAUUGACAGAUUGAGAGCUCUUUCUUGAUUUUAAGGUUGGUGGUGCAUGGCCGUUCUUAGUUGGUGGAGUGAUUUGUCUGCUUAAUUGCGAUAACGAACGAGACCUUUUCCUGCAAAAUAGCCUGCUUCAUCAUCGAUGUAGCAGCCUUCUUUGAGGGACUUUUGACGUUUAGUCAUAGGAAGCUUGAGGCUAUAACAGGUCUGUGAUGCCCUUAGAUGUUCUGGGCCGCACGCGCGUUACACUGAUGAAGUCAGCGAGUUCAUUCCUUGGCUGAAAAGCCCGGGUAAUCUUUUGAAACUUCAUCGUGCUGGGGAUAGAGCAUUGCAAUUAUUGCUCUUCAACGAGGAAUGUCUAGUAAGCGCAAGUCAUCAACUUGCGUUGAUUACGUCCCUGCUCUUUGUACACACCGCCCGUCGCUACUACCGAUUGAAUGGCUUAGUGAGGCCUUGGGAUUGUCUGGCUGAUCGGCAACGAACGUGUCAGACGAGAACUUGGUCAAACUUGGUCAUUUAGAGGAAGUAAAAGUCGUAACAAGGUAACC
Molecule: ribosomal RNA, 1762 nt
Filed under: uncultured Chytridiomycota
Lineage: Eukaryota; Fungi; Chytridiomycota
Description: SSU rRNA
Rfam family: Eukaryotic small subunit ribosomal RNA
Source: RNAcentral